CAAGAAAUAGUUUAAAUAAAAUAUUAGUUUUGGGAAUUAAUGAUAAAGAGAAUUCUUUUUUCUUGA
RNAcentral lists this transfer RNA (66 nucleotides) under Mansonia uniformis. RNAcentral's name for it is "tRNA-Pro". Lineage: Eukaryota; Metazoa; Arthropoda; Insecta; Diptera; Culicidae. The record is from RNAcentral.